AAAAACAGAUAAGGGCAGACGGUGGAUGCCUUGGCUCUCGGAGGCGACGAAGGACGUGAUAAGCUGCGAUAAGCUACGGGGAUCGGCACAUACGAUUUGAUCCGUAGAUUUCCGAAUGGGGCAACCCGGCAUGUAGAAGACAUGUCACACUGCAGAGCAGUGAGCGAACGUGGGGAACUGAAACAUCUAAGUACCCAUAGGAGAAGAAAACAAAAGUGAUUCCCUUAGUAGUGGCGAGCGAACGGGGACUAGCCCAAACCAGAUUUGUUUCGGCAAAACUGGGGUUGUAGGACCUCGAUAUAGGAAGACAAGAUUAGGAGAACGGUCUGGAAAGGCCGGCCAUAGAACAUGACAGCUGUGUAUCCGAAAAUCUUCGUUGGACUUAGAGGUAUCCUGAGUAGCGCGGGACACGUGAAAUCCUGUGUGAAUCUGCGGGGCCCAUCCCGUAAGGCUAAAUACUCCCGAGAGACCGAUAGUGAACCAGUACCGUGAGGGAAAGGUGAAAAGAACCUCGAACAGAGGAGUGCAAUAGACCCUGAACCCGUCUGCCUACAAGCGGUAGGAGCAGCUUUCGAGCUGUGACUGCGUGCCUUUUGCAUAAUGAACCUACGAGUUACUUUCUCUGGCAAGGUUAAGUGAUGAAGAGUCACGUGAGCCGAAGCGAAAGCGAGUCUGAAUAGGGCGCUUUAGUCAGAGGGAGUAGACGCGAAACCAAGUGAUCUACCCUUGGUCAGGUUGAAGGUUGGGUAAAACCAACUGGAGGACCGCACCGGUAAGCGUUGAAAAGCUUUCGGAUGAACUGAGGGUAGGGGUGAAAGGCUAAUCAAACUUGGAGAUAGCUCGUACUCCCCGAAAUGCAUUUAGGUGCAGCCUGUGGAGUUUCUUACGUGAGGUAGAGCGACUGAUUGGAUGCGAGGCUUUCACCGGCUAUCAAGUCCAGACAAACUCCGAAUGCACGUUAAGUAAGAUCCACGGAGUGAGGGCAUGGGUGCUAAGGUCCAUGUCCGAGAGGAGAAGAAUCCAGACCAUCGGCUAAGGUCCCGAAAUAAUAGCUAAGUUGACCAAACGAAGUCAGAGUGCGAAGACAGCUAGGAUGUUGGCUUGGAAGCAGCCAUUCAUUUAAAGAGUGCGUAACAGCUCACUAGUCGAGUGCUUUGGCGUGGAUAAUAAUCGGGCAUAAGCUAUUUACCGAAGCUGUGGGAUGUGUAAACAUCGGUAGGGGAGCAUUCCAGCGACGUAGAAGGUAAGAGGACAACUCUUGCUGGAGUUUCUGGAAAAGCAAAUGUAGGUAUAAGUAACGAUAAAGGAGGUGAGAAACCUCCUCGCCGAAAGACUAAGGUUUCCUGAUCAACGCUAAUCGGAUCAGGGUUAGUCGGGGCCUAAGGGGCAGCCGAACGGCGUACCCGAUGGAAGAACCGGUUAAUAUUCCGGUACUAAUUAUGUGAGCGAUGUGGAGACGGAGAUGUGACGGUCCUGCCAACUGACGGAAUAGUUGGUUGAAGGGUGUAGGAGUUGAUCUGAGUAGGCAAAUCCGCUCGGAGAUCCGAACCUGACAGUACUCUGAGUGCUUGCACAAGGAGAUAUGGACAACUGUAACGGUGCUCCCAAGAAAAUCCGCUAAGCAUAUUGCAUGAUUACCCGUACCAUAAACCGACACAGGUGGUUGGGUUGAGUAUACUAAGGCGCUCGAGUGAUUCGCGGUUAAGGAACUAGGCAAAAUAGUCCUGUAACUUCGGAAUAAAGGACGCUCACAGUGAAGGCUGUGAGCCGCAGAGAAUAGGCCCAGGCGACUGUUUAACAAAAACACAUGGCUAUGCUAAAUCGAAAGAUACUGUAUAUAGCCUGACACCUGCCCGGUGCUGGAAGGUUAAGAGGAGAUGUCAUCGCAAGAGAAGCAUUGAAUUGAAGCCCCAGUAAACGGCGGCCGUAACUAUAACGGUCCUAAGGUAGCGAAAUUCCUUGUCGGGU
This 1968-nucleotide ribosomal RNA is filed under the name human oral metagenome. RNAcentral's name for it is "bacterial LSU rRNA". It matches the Rfam family "Bacterial large subunit ribosomal RNA", at positions 1 to 1977 of the family's 2925-position model. The record is from RNAcentral.